ACGCUCGACACCUACGGGAGCAGCAGUGGGGAAUAUUGCACAAUGGGGGAAACCCUGAUGCAGCGACGCCGCGUGAGCGAAGAAGUAUUUCGGUAUGUAAAGCUCUAUCAGCAGGGAAGAAGAAAGACGGUACCUGACUAAGAAGCCCCGGCUAACUACGUGCCUGCAGCCGCGGUAAUCUGAGCGGGCUGGCAAGGC
RNAcentral lists this ribosomal RNA (198 nucleotides) under uncultured bacterium. RNAcentral's name for it is "partial 16S ribosomal RNA". It matches the Rfam family "Bacterial small subunit ribosomal RNA", at positions 328 to 539 of the family's 1533-position model. The record is from RNAcentral.